RNAcentral lists this unclassified non-coding RNA (301 nucleotides) under Glomus sp. RNAcentral's name for it is "partial contains 5.8S ribosomal RNA and internal transcribed spacer 2". The stretch from base 1 to 65 matches the Rfam family "5.8S ribosomal RNA", at positions 84 to 154 of the family's 154-position model. The record is from RNAcentral. Lineage: Eukaryota; Fungi; Glomeromycota; Glomeromycetes; Glomerales; Glomeraceae.
GUGAAUCAUCGAAUUUUUGAACGCAAAUUGCACUCUCUUCGGAGAGUAUGCCUGUUUGAGGGUCAGCCUAAAAAAAUCGACAUCGGUUCUGGUUCUCGGUGGCGUUCGUCGGAAAUUUGGUUAUCUUAAAUCUUUGGGUUAAGCUACUUAAAAUUUUCUUUACGGUUCCAUGGACGUUUCCAAGGUUUAUUUCUUUACACUUUUAAGGUAUCGGUUUUAUUAAGCGUGGUCGUCAUAUCGGAUCAUGGCCAUAAUUUUUCGGUAACUUACCUCAGACAGGUAAUAGUACCCGCUUGACUUA